UUAAAGCUCCGGCGGUUAGAGAUGGGCAUGCGUACCAUUAGCUAGUUGGUGAGGUAACGGCUCACCAAGGCUACGAUGGUUAGGGGGUCUGAGAGGAUGAUCCCCCACACUGGUACUGAGACACGGACCAGACUCCUACGGGAGGCAGCAGUGAGGAAUAUUGGUCAAUGGGCGAAAGCCUGAACCAGCCAUGCCGCGUGAAGGAUGAAGGCCCUCAGGGUUGUAAACUUCUUUUGUACGGGACGAAACCCUUGAACGUGUUCGAGGCUGACGGUACCGUACGAAUAA
RNAcentral lists this ribosomal RNA (288 nucleotides) under uncultured thermophilic aerobic biofilm eubacterium SCBP-A25. RNAcentral's name for it is "partial 16S ribosomal RNA". It matches the Rfam family "Bacterial small subunit ribosomal RNA", at positions 201 to 489 of the family's 1533-position model. The record is from RNAcentral.